CGUAUGUCGCAAGCGUUAUCCGGAAUUAUUGGGCAUAAAGGGCAUCUAGGCGGCCCUGUAAGUCUAGGGUGAAAACCUGCGGCUCAACCGCAGGCCUGCCCCGGAAACUACAGGGCUAGAGUAUCGGAGAGGUGGACGGAACUGCACGAGUAGAGGUGAAAUUCGUAGAUAUGUGCAGGAAUGCCGAUGAUGAAGAUAGUUCACUGGACGGUAACUGAACGCUGAAGUGCGAAAGCUAGGGAGCAAACAGGAUU
Molecule: ribosomal RNA, 254 nt
Filed under: uncultured bacterium
Lineage: Bacteria
Description: partial 16S ribosomal RNA
Rfam family: Bacterial small subunit ribosomal RNA
Source: RNAcentral